Vombatus ursinus (common wombat) is the source of this 601-nucleotide long non-coding RNA. RefSeq lists it as uncharacterized. NCBI's taxonomy places the organism in Eukaryota, Metazoa, Chordata, Mammalia, Diprotodontia, Vombatidae. The record is from RefSeq and is a predicted model, not a curated record. The transcript has 3 exons.
GCCUCGAGUCAGGAAGACUCACCUUCCAGAGUUCAAAUUCAGCCUCAGACACUUAUUGGUUGUGUGACUAUCUUCUGUGAGGGCUUGUGUAGACACUUUUACUUCCAAUUUGUCUUCCAGAAAGGAAGUCAUCUUCUACUAUCACCAUCCCUUGUUUCUCCAAGGCCUCCCUGGCGAAAAGCUUCCCAGUGAAUAAUGGGUGGUGUAUUGGCAGCAGCAUGGAGGAGCUAAUCUGUUUUAGAUAAUGGCAUCUUCUGGAUUGAUAGACCACUAAAUGUAGUUACUGAUAGAUAUGAAAAUCUGAAACAAUUGAUGCUAUCAUGCAAGUUGUAAUCUUCCUGGAAACAAGGAGACAUACAGAAAACAAAAGAGUUAAGUCUUCUAUUUGAAGUUUUCUACCAGGAAGGAGUUCAUAGACCAUUGGUUAAGAAUCCCUCCUCUGGAAGCUGACAGAAUUGUUCAAAUCUUUAUGAUUAGUCCUUGAAGAAAAAGAAGAAUGUCCAUCUGGGGAAUAGUGUGCAUUUAUUCCUGUCAGGAUAAGAAACAAAGUCAUUCUUCUCUUUGCUCACAAUGUCCAGAACAAAGAGGAAAAAGAACAUUU